CAAGAUUCUGAUUACUGACGGAUAAAUGUGGAGUACCACAGGGGAAUCAGAAUUAUAAUGAAAGCCGACCGUCUGGGCAGCAUUU
RNAcentral lists this non-coding RNA (85 nucleotides) under Blautia sp. RNAcentral's name for it is "ZTP sequence". It matches the Rfam family "ZMP/ZTP riboswitch aptamer (pfl RNA motif)". From Rfam's summary of the family: Previously known as pfl RNA. ZMP is also known as AICAR. The record is from RNAcentral. Lineage: Bacteria; Bacillati; Bacillota; Clostridia; Lachnospirales; Lachnospiraceae. RNAcentral also lists the same sequence under 1 other name.